RNAcentral lists this unclassified non-coding RNA (535 nucleotides) under Hevea brasiliensis (rubber tree). Lineage: Eukaryota; Viridiplantae; Streptophyta; Magnoliopsida; Malpighiales; Euphorbiaceae. The record is from RNAcentral.
AGCUGAUGGCACUUUCAGAGGUAAUAAAACAACACAUUUUUCAGGCUUCAUUUCUCUCCAUUAUUUUAUAGUAUUUAAAACUGAAUCGCAGUUGUAAAUAACAGUUGUAAAUAACAUAGCACAAAUUCAAUUGACAUCUGACAAACCAUUCUUUUCUCACUUUGUUGUGCGGGUGAUGAUGAAAAGAGUUGCUUAGGUACAAUCUACCUGCAAUAAUUUGUUGGCCAAGGGACUAUUAUCAUAGUUACCAAGGCUCCAGAUUUAGGAGAAAACUACUGAUUAUAUAGAGCAACUAACAUCUUCUUCGGCUUAUACUAAGAACUGAAGAAAACACUUGGGGUGGUGGCUGAAAGGAGGUUCAAGUCUAGAUGCAUGCAGUAAUUGUUUCUCCUGAGCUUAUUGGUUGAAAUGCGAAUGAAUACUUUCUAGCUCAAUAAUAUGUGUUAAAUAGCAAAAUAUCAUAUAUGUUGUUGAGUUCUUUGUUGUUGUAAGAGGGAACUUUACCUCCGAUUGGUGUUAAUUUACUAUUGUUAUU